RNAcentral lists this ribosomal RNA (620 nucleotides) under uncultured bacterium. RNAcentral's name for it is "bacterial SSU rRNA". It matches the Rfam family "Bacterial small subunit ribosomal RNA", at positions 338 to 951 of the family's 1533-position model. The record is from RNAcentral.
CCUACGGGAGGCAGCAGUGGGGAAUUUUGGACAAUGGGCGAAAGCCUGAUCCAGCAAUGCCGCGUGAGUGAAGAAGGCCUUCGGGUUGUAAAGCUCUUUUGUCAGGGAAGAAACGGUGAGGGCUAAUAUCCCUUGCUAAUGACGGUACCUGAAGAAUAAGCACCGGCUAACUACGUGCCAGCAGCCGCGGUAAUACGUAGGGUGCAAGCGUUAAUCGGAAUUACUGGGCGUAAAGCGUGCGCAGGCGGUUUUGUAAGUCUGUCGUGAAAUCCCCGGGCUCAACCUGGGAAUUGCGAUGGAGACUGCAAGGCUAGAAUCUGGCAGAGGGGGGUAGAAUUCCACGUGUAGCAGUGAAAUGCGUAGAGAUGUGGAGGAACACCGAUGGCGAAGGCAGCCCCCUGGGUCAAGAUUGACGCUCAUGCACGAAAGCGUGGGGAGCAAACAGGAUUAGAUACCCUGGUAGUCCACGCCCUAAACGAUGCCUACUAGUUGUCGGGUUUUAAUUAACUUGGUAACGCAGCUAACGCGUGAAGUAGACCGCCUGGGGAGUACGGUCGCAAGAUUAAAAACUCAAAAUGAAGUAGUAGCGUGAGAGAGCGACGACGACACGAGGGAGGAGG